RNAcentral lists this ribosomal RNA (430 nucleotides) under Fusobacteriota bacterium. RNAcentral describes it as "Fusobacteria bacterium partial 16S ribosomal RNA". It matches the Rfam family "Bacterial small subunit ribosomal RNA", at positions 355 to 776 of the family's 1533-position model. Lineage: Bacteria; Fusobacteriati; Fusobacteriota. The record is from RNAcentral.
UAGGGAAUCUUCGGCAAUGGACGGAAGUCUGACCGAGCAACGCCGCGUGAGUGAAGAAGGUUUUCGGAUCGUAAAACUCUGUUGUUAGAGAAGAACAAGGAUGAGAGUAGAAUGUUCAUCCCUUGACGGUAUCUAACCAGAAAGCCACGGCUAACUACGUGCCAGCAGCCGCGGUAAUACGUAGGUGGCAAGCGUUGUCCGGAUUUAUUGGGCGUAAAGCGAGCGCAGGCGGUUUCUUAAGUCUGAUGUGAAAGCCCCCGGCUCAACCGGGGAGGGUCAUUGGAAACUGGGAAACUUGAGUGCAGAAGAGGAGGGUGGAAUUCCAUGUGUAGCGGUGAAAUGCGUAGAUAUAUGGAGGAACACCAGUGGCGAAGGCGGCUCUCUGGUCUGUAACUGACGCUGAGGCUCGAAAGCGUGGGGAGCAAACAGG